CCGCAAGGGGGCAGCGCGCAGUACGAGGUGGAGUAACGCGUGGGGAAUCUACUCCUUAGACUACGGAAUAACGCAGGGAAACUUGUGCUAAUACCGUAUGUGUCCUUCGGGAGAAAGAUUUAUCGGUCAAGGAUGAGCCCGCGUUGGAUUAGCUAGUUGGUGGGGUAAAGGCCUACCAAGGCGACGAUCCAUAGCUGGUCUGAGAGGAUGAUCAGCCACAUUGGGACUGAGACACGGCCCAAACUCCUACGGGAGGCAGCAGUGGGGAAUAUUGGACAAUGGGCGCAAGCCUGAUCCAGCCAUGCCGCGUGAGUGAUGAAGGCCCUAGGGUUGUAAAGCUCUUUCACCGGAGAAGAUAAUGACGGUAUCCGGAGAAGAAGCCCCGGCUAACUUCGUGCCAGCAGCCGCGGUAAUACGAAGGGGGCUAGCGUUGUUCGGAAUUACUGGGCGUAAAGCGCACGUAGGCGGAUCGAUCAGUCAGGGGUGAAAUCCCAGGGCUCAACCCUGGAACUGCCUUUGAUACUGUCGAUCUGGAGUAUGGAAGAGGUGAGUGGAAUUCCGAGUGUAGAGGUGAAAUUCGUAGAUAUUCGGAGGAACACCAGUGGCGAAGGCGGCUCACUGGUCCAUUACUGACGCUGAGGUGCGAAAGCGUGGGGAGCAAACAGGAUUAGAUCCCUGGUAGUCCACGCCGUAAACGAUGAAUGUUAACCCGUCGGGCAGUAUACUGGUUCGGUGGCUCAGCUAA
This 745-nucleotide ribosomal RNA is filed under the name Rhizobium sp. RNAcentral's name for it is "bacterial SSU rRNA". It matches the Rfam family "Bacterial small subunit ribosomal RNA", at positions 77 to 855 of the family's 1533-position model. Lineage: Bacteria; Pseudomonadati; Pseudomonadota; Alphaproteobacteria; Hyphomicrobiales; Rhizobiaceae. The record is from RNAcentral.